Molecule: ribosomal RNA, 475 nt
Filed under: uncultured Legionella sp.
Lineage: Bacteria; Pseudomonadati; Pseudomonadota; Gammaproteobacteria; Legionellales; Legionellaceae
Description: partial 16S ribosomal RNA
Source: RNAcentral
GGAUGGCUUUUCCUGGCCUUUUAGGCGAGAUCGKUAGCUGGUCUGAGAGGAUGACCAGCCCACUGGAACUGAGAAAAAGUAAAGACUCCUACGGGAGGCAGCAGUGGGGAAUAUUSGACAAUAARGGGGAACCCUGAUCCAGCAAUGCCGCGUGUGUGAAGAASGCCUGAGGGUUGUAAAGCACUUUCCSUARGGAGGAGGGUUGAUWGGUUAAGAGCUAAUUAACUGGACGUUACCUACAGAARAAGCACCGGCUAACUCCGUGCCAGCAGCCGCGGUAAUACGGAGGGUGCGAGCGUUAAUCGGAAUUACUGGGCGUAAAGAGUGCSUACGUGGUUGAUUAAGUUAUCUGUGAAAUCCCUGGGCUUAACCUGGGCAKGUCARAUGAUACUGAUUGACUCGAYUAWGGGAKAGGGUAGUGGAAUUUCCGGUGUASCGGUGAAAUGCGWAGARAUCSGAAUGAACACCCGUGGCG